UAGGGAAUAUUGGGCAAUGGGCGAAAGCCUGACCCAGCAACGCCGCGUGAAGGAUGAAGUAUUUCGGUAUGUAAACUUCGUAAGAAUAGGAAGAAUAAAUGACGGUACUAUUUGUAAGGUCCGGCUAACUACGUGCCAGCAGCCGCGGUAAUACGUAGGGACCAAGCGUUGUUCGGAUUUACUGGGCGUAAAGGGCGCGUAGGCGGUGUGUCAAGUCAGUUGUGAAAUCUCCGAGCUUAACUCGGAACGGUCAACUGAUACUGUCACACUAGAGUACAGAAGGGGCAAUCGGAAUUCUUGGUGUAGCGGUGAAAUGCGUAGAUAUCAAGAGGAACACCGGUGGCGAAGGCGGCCUUCUGGACGGAUACUGACGCUGAGACGCGAAAGCGUGGGGAGCAAACAGGAUUAGAUACCCCCGUAGUCCCUGAGCGGGCUGGCAAGGCGCAU
Molecule: ribosomal RNA, 447 nt
Filed under: uncultured bacterium
Lineage: Bacteria
Description: bacterial SSU rRNA
Rfam family: Bacterial small subunit ribosomal RNA
Source: RNAcentral